AACCAUUCUCACCUGCGGCUAGACCUGCGGAAGGAUCAUUACAGAGUUAUCCAACUCCCAAACCCAUGUGAACUUAUCUCUUUGUUGCCUCGGCGCAAGCUACCCGGGACCCCGCGCCCCGGGCGGCCCGCCGGCGGACAAACCAAAACUCUUGUUAUCUUAGUUGAUUCUCUGAGCGUCUUAUUUAAUAAGUCAAAACUUUCAGCAAUGGAUCU
Molecule: unclassified non-coding RNA, 215 nt
Filed under: soil metagenome
Description: partial contains 5.8S ribosomal RNA, internal transcribed spacer 2, and large subunit ribosomal RNA
Source: RNAcentral